CCUACGGGAGGCAGCAGUAAGGAAUAUUGGUCAAUGGACGAAAGUCUGAACCAGCCAUGCCGCGUGAAGGAUUAAGGCCCUCUGGGUUGUAAACUUCUUUUAUCUGGGACGAAAAAAGGGUAUUCUUACUCACUUGACGGUACCAGAGGAAUAAGCACCGGCUAACUCCGUGCCAGCAGCCGCGGUAAUACGGAGGGUGCAAGCGUUAUCCGGAUUUACUGGGUUUAAAGGGUGCGUAGGUGGGCUUGUAAGUCAGUGGUGAAAUCUCCGGGCUUAACCCCGGAAACUGCCAUUGAUACUAUAGGUCUUGAAUUAUCUGGAGGUAAGCGGAAUAUGUCAUGUAGCGGUGAAAUGCUUAGAUAUGACAUAGAACACCAAUUGCGAAGGCAGCUUACUACGGAUAUAUUGACACUGAGGCACGAAAGCGUGGGGAUCAAACAGGAUUAGAUACCCUGGUAGUCCACGCCCUAAACGAUGGAUACUCGACAUCAGCGAUACACUGUUGGUGUCUGAGCGAAAGCAUUAAGUAUCCCACCUGGGAAGUACGAUCGCAAGAUUGAAACUCAAAGGAAUUGACGGCNGAGAGNGCGAGACGACACGAGGAGGAGG
Molecule: ribosomal RNA, 609 nt
Filed under: uncultured bacterium
Lineage: Bacteria
Description: bacterial SSU rRNA
Rfam family: Bacterial small subunit ribosomal RNA
Source: RNAcentral